Molecule: long non-coding RNA, 1054 nt
Organism: Oryza sativa Japonica Group (Japanese rice)
Lineage: Eukaryota; Viridiplantae; Streptophyta; Magnoliopsida; Poales; Poaceae
Source: RefSeq, a predicted model, not a curated record
AAAAAAUAGUGAGACCCACCUCCUACACCUCACCCUCUUCCCCUCUCUUCCAAUCCUCUGCCUCCAUCCUCCAUCCUCCCGGCGACAAGCACGGCGGUACCUAGCUGUCGUCCGCGCUGAGAUCGUGCAUGAGCUCUCCUCCUCCGCUUCGUCCUCUCCCCCGUUACUCCAAUCCUAGAGAGCAACAGCAAGGACCUCUCCAUCCAUCGGUGGCUUUUUACCCAUAGGAGGGGAGAGGGGAGGCCUGGCCAUUGACGCUGUCGCGAUGGAGCGCAUGGCCAAGCACUGCUGGGAUCUGUGGGACGCAGGCAGCGACGCCGGCGUUAGAUCCAGCUGGCCGGUAGCUCAUGCCAGUGGCGGAGGGGUCAAGCCGUCGUGGGAGGAACAGGUGUUCUCGCAGGACGCAGCGGAGCACCUCGGCGGCUGCUUGUGGCCGCCGUGCUCCUACAUGUGCAGCUUCUGCCGGUGGGAGUUCCGGUUAGCAGGCGCUUGGUAGGCACAUGAACGUGCAUUGCUAUGACCGUGCUCCCCUCCGGCAGUGCGACGACGACAUCGACCCGAUUCAACCACCAAUCGGCAGCAUCUGCGAGCCGCCUACUCUUUUACCGUCAACGGUAGUAGCAGCAGCAGAGUAUCCUUUUUAGAUAAUGGAAGUUUUUAUUUAACUCAGUCAAUUACAUCGAGAUGAUACAAUUAUCCUAAGAACACUCUCGGCCUAUGCAUAUCUCCUGCUACAAAUAUCCAGCCCUAAAUCCACAACUGCUCAUCAUCAUCAUCAUAAUCAGCAGCUGCAGGGCACUAAUUCUUCGUCUCUGAAUUCCUGCAUAACAACCAUCAUCAAGAAGAGCAGGAACAAGACAAGAUGAAGAGAGGGGAGAUUGGAAGAGCUGAGGAAGAUGAGGAGGGGAGUAAGAAUGACAUGUGGCCCCACCAUUUUAAAUUACUAUCUUUUUGUAACUAACGUGUGGGUCCAUGACUAUUAUUUUUCAAAUCGAAUUGUCAUGUAAGCGCCACGUCAAUGCCACAUGGGACGAAGAUCUAGUCAAAUUAGUCA